GUCCUUAAGAAAAGAAUCUAAGGUCUAAUCUGCCCAUUGAGAAUACGAUCUUAAAAGGCCGCAGUAGCCUAACUGUGCUAAGGUAGCAUAAUAAAUUGUACUUUAAUUGAGUGAUAGAAUGAAUGAUUAGACGAGAUAGAGACUGUCUCCUAAAGGAUUAAGGAAGUUAUCUUUUAAGUUAAAAGACUUAAAUAUUAGUAAGGGACGAGAAGACCCUAUAGAGCUUCAUAAAAGCAAGAAUUUUAUUAUAUCUAAGUUUCUUACUUUUAAUUGGUUGGGGGUACCGGACAAUAGAAAAAAUUUGUCUUUAACUUAACUUGAUCAAAGUAAUCUAUGUCCCUAUUUUGGGAAUUAAAAUAAGUUACCUUAGGGAUAACAGCGUAAUAUGGUAUUCAAGUUCUUAUUGAAUAUAAUGUUUGCGACCUCGAUGUUGAAUUAAGGCCUCUUCCAGAGGAAGAAGACUGGGAAUAGUUAGUCUGUUCGACUAUAAAAGCCU
Molecule: ribosomal RNA, 496 nt
Filed under: Laemobothrion cubense
Lineage: Eukaryota; Metazoa; Arthropoda; Insecta; Psocodea; Laemobothriidae
Description: partial 16S ribosomal RNA
Rfam family: Bacterial large subunit ribosomal RNA
Source: RNAcentral